This is a microRNA precursor of Cavia aperea (Brazilian guinea pig), 95 nucleotides long. NCBI's taxonomy places the organism in Eukaryota, Metazoa, Chordata, Mammalia, Rodentia, Caviidae. The record is from Ensembl.
GUGUGUGCACGUACAUCUGUGUGUAUGUGCAUGUAUAUGUUGACAUAGAUAAGUAAAUCCAGAUAAAUGCAAGAAAUAUGCACACAUGCAGAUGA